Molecule: transfer RNA, 57 nt
Filed under: Sogatella vibix
Lineage: Eukaryota; Metazoa; Arthropoda; Insecta; Hemiptera; Delphacidae
Description: tRNA-Ser
Source: RNAcentral
AAGAAGUGAAAUAAGAAGCCGCUAACUACUUAAAAACAUUAAUUUGUUAACUUCUUG